CUGAAUUUAGGAUUGUACUGUAUGUGUUUACUUUAUGCAGAAGGGAGGCUGUCAUACCAAUAACACUGGUCAGAAAGGUAGCCAGAGCAUGGGAGAGAGAGAGGCCUCAAACCAACAGGUCGCCUCCUAAAUACUGUGGCAGAUUGUAGAUCAGGAACAGGUGCGUGAUCGUUGAUGACGGUCAGGUGGGAACAACAUCAGCCCAGAGAGCCAAUGCCCCGCCCUCGCAAUACAAUGAGGACAGACAAGGAGGAACAGAUGCACCAGGCAUGCAUACCAACAAACAACGAUGAAAACAACAUGCACGCUAAACAAACAGGAGAUACGGUGUUGGGGUCGUGACACAUUAAGUCUAGACCAGUUCCUCUUUGUCAGUGCGAUUUGUCCAUGUUUGGCAUAUGCUGUCACGGUCUUUGAGACUUUUCUCUUGGUAUAUUAAAUAAUUUUGCAGUUUUUGGGACCAAUGACACCUGCAAUUCAGGCACCGACCAUGUUGUUCUUUAGAACUCUGUUAGUUGCCUCAUGUUGCUUUGAAAACUCAAAUAUUAAAGUGCUAAUUGUCAGACCUCUUUUCCUAGCUAACACGUGCUGAUAAUUGCUAAUUAACCUAAUGUGACAUCUGCAGCUAUGUUUGUAAUUGUGAUUGAAUUACUUCAAAAUAACAAAUUAUCCAUGUGGUGUUUCUGUUAUUUUGUCCAACCCAUGUUACUGUAAGGGGAAUAUCCUUACUGUUGUGGUAUUCAGGCCAGUGGGCCCAGAACUGUUAAUAGAAUGUUUGCUAUAAAAAGCAGUUCGGGACUUAUGCAAAAAACAAACAUUUUGGGCUGUGUAAUGCAUAAUGCGUUUUUUUCAUGUGCAUAUGUUUGUAAUCACUAUUAUACCUUAGUUAGCCAUGAGAUUUCAUGUUCUUACUUGAGUGAUUUCGAUGACAUGAAGGGCCAUAGCUAACAUGGGGAAAGGUGGACAUGAUUCAUGGGGCAGGAGCUUUUUGUCUCAUGAAGAAAAUCCUGACCCAACCAUGUCAAAAAGAGACAUGUUCAAUAAUUGGAGCCAUGAAUGUUCGUAAAAAAGCUUGGGACUGAUUUCUAGUAUUCCCUGUUGGAGAGUUGACAGUCUGUCAAAAAUAAUUUAACUGAUUUGUAAUAAUAUUUACAUGAGGCGGGUUUAAAAUGCAUCUUCUGUGAGGAUAAUUAAAUUAUUUGUUU
Esox lucius (northern pike) is the source of this 1205-nucleotide long non-coding RNA. NCBI's taxonomy places the organism in Eukaryota, Metazoa, Chordata, Actinopteri, Esociformes, Esocidae. The record is from Ensembl.